AAUACUUAGGAAUCUGCCCAUUAAUGGGGGACAACAGUUGGAAACGACUGCUAAUACCGCAUACGCCCUACGGGGGAAAGCAGGGGAUCUUCGGACCUUGCGUUAAUGGAUGAGCCUAAGUCGGAUUAGCUAGUUGGUGGGGUAAAGGCCUACCAAGGCGACGAUCUGUAGCGGGUCUGAGAGGAUGAUCCGCCACACUGGGACUGAGACACGGCCCAGACUCCUACGGGAGGCAGCAGUGGGGAAUAUUGGACAAUGGGGGGAACCCUGAUCCAGCCAUGCCGCGUGUGUGAAGAAGGCCUUUUGGUUGUAAAGCACUUUAAGCGAGGAGGAGGCUACUAGUAUUAAUACUACUGGAUAGUGGACGUUACCCGCAGAAUAAGCACCGGCUAACUCUGUGCCAGCAGCCGCGGUAAUACAGAGGGUGCGAGCGUUAAUCGGAUUUACUGGGCGUAAAGCGUACGUAGGUGGUCUUUUAAGUCGGAUGUGAAAUCCCUGAGCUUAACUUAGGAAUUGCAUUCGAUACUGGGAGACUAGAGUAUGGGAGAGGAUGGUAGAAUUCCAGGUGUAGCGGUGAAAUGCGUAGAGAUCUGGAGG
RNAcentral lists this ribosomal RNA (597 nucleotides) under uncultured bacterium. RNAcentral's name for it is "bacterial SSU rRNA". It matches the Rfam family "Bacterial small subunit ribosomal RNA", at positions 112 to 704 of the family's 1533-position model. The record is from RNAcentral.